Molecule: ribosomal RNA, 317 nt
Filed under: uncultured bacterium
Lineage: Bacteria
Description: bacterial SSU rRNA
Rfam family: Bacterial small subunit ribosomal RNA
Source: RNAcentral
AAUGAACGUUGGCGGCGUGGAUUAGGCAUGCAAGUCGCGCGACAAGGAACCUUCGGGUUCUGGAGGAGCGGCAAACGGGGUAGUAAGGCAUCGGAACGUACCCUCUUGUUGGGAAUAGCCGCGGGAAACUGCGAGUAAUGCCCAAUAAUCCCUACGGGGCAAAGGUCCGCCGCAGGAGGAGCGGCCGAUGUGAUACCAGCUAGUUGGUGAGGUAAUGGCUCACCAAGGCUUAGACGUCUAGGGGGUGUGAGAGCAUGGCCCCCCACCACUGGACGUGAGAUACUGCCCACGANACCUACGGGUGGGCUGCAGUCGAG